GGGUGCUCCCAUCUUUCGUUAGGAUAAGAGGAACCCUAGUCCCUAGCAACGCCUACAGCGUCACGGAACACCGGCGAACCAAACCUCGGAGAAACCCUAGCAAGGCCGCUUGCCCCUCUCAGGCGCGACACAGCAUCGGCGACUAGCGAUGACAGGAUAUCGCAGCCGCAGUCCGAGCCGAAGCUACAGCCCACGGAGGCGGUACAGCCGGAGCCCUCCUAGGCGCAAGCGCUACGACGAUCCACGCGACCGCUACCGCUGGGCCGGGGCCGGCGGAGGCGGGGACCGACGUGGUUACGGUCGGCCGUUGGCGCAGUCCGGUCUCCUCAUCCGUAAUAUCUCCCUCACAGCCAGGCCAGAAGAUAUUCGAGCUACAUUUGAGCAAUUCGGCCCUAUCAAGGAUGUUUACCUGCCAAGGAAUUUCCACACGAGGGAACUUCGUGGUUUUGGAUUUGUCAAAUUCCGCUACCCUGAGGAUGCUGCAGUUGCCAAGCGUGAGAUGCAUCAUCAAGUCAUUGGUGGGCGAGAAAUUUCAAUAGUUUAUGCUGAGGAGAAUCGAAAAACGCCACAAGAAAUGCGCAUGAGAACAAGAACUAGUGGUAGGUACAUGGAUGAAAGAUACACAAGACUGUCAAGAUCUCCAAGGUCUCGUUCCCACUCUUAUUCACCACCGCCUUCUCCAGUUAGGCGUGACUUCAGUGGUAAGGCGAGACAAGGCGUUGGACCACCGCCUGGACGCCUAGGCGUCACCUUAAGAACAGUGAUGUCAACAAAGAAUAUAGAGUAUCUAAAAGACCAAAAGACAACCAUAAUGUUUGGAGAUUAAAAGCCAAAGUGAAAGUACCAUGGCUUCCAGGGUUGAGCAUGUGAAAGGCAUUAUUGUUAAAGAUAAAGUGGUGCUGUCAGUCAAGAGUUUAAUGAUAAUCUUGGCUAAGAUACCUGACGGAAAGAGUAUGUUGAAGUUGAGCCAGCGCCUUAAUGCAUUGCACAAUUGCAUGUUUGGAUCAAAGUGGGUAGCUUUUAUUGAUAUGGGGCAGGGGCAGGGAGCGCCCGGAUAGUUAUUCCCCUCAGUACUCGCACUCUCCACGCCCUCGGGACAGCAGGCACCACAGGUCAGAUGGUCGCUCUCCAACUCCAAGCCUAGAUGACCACAAACCUAAGGCGACACCAGUCAAUGGUGGACAUGGUCCAGCAGUUGCAUCCAGAUAGUAUGAUGCCAUUAUGGAUGCCUUGAAUUGUGUUCGGAGGCUGGAGACUGCAGACUAUCUUUUCACCAAUCUUCUCUAAGAGAUGAGUAGGGUUGUAGUAAACAGAUACUUGGUAGUUGUAUUACAGGUGAUGGUUUCGGUUAUGAGGUGCGCUGUUGCUUUUGUGACGCUGCUUUAAUGCUUUCCCAACCGAGGGUAGUAGGGUACCGUCGUGGAAUUUUGCGUGUUUGUUUUUUGGCUACAAUAUUACUAAUACUAGUAACUUGCUCGCUUCGAGCGCGAGUCUUUAUCUA
Molecule: RNA transcript, 1501 nt
Organism: Zea mays
Lineage: Eukaryota; Viridiplantae; Streptophyta; Magnoliopsida; Poales; Poaceae
Gene name: arginine/serine-rich splicing factor SCL28 transcript II
Exons: 9
Source: RefSeq, marked validated